UACGAAGGGGGCUAGCGUUGCUCGGAAUCACUGGGCGUAAAGGGUGCGUAGGCGGGUCUUUAAGUCAGGGGUGAAAUCCUGGAGCUCAACUCCAGAACUGCCUUUGAUACUGAGGAUCUUGAGUUCGGGAGAGGUGAGUGGAACUGCGAGUGUAGAGGUGAAAUUCGUAGAUAUUCGCAAGAGCACCAGUGGCGAAGGCGGCUCACUGGCCCGAUACUGACGCUGAGGCACGAAAGCGUGGGGAGCAAACAGG
RNAcentral lists this ribosomal RNA (253 nucleotides) under uncultured bacterium. RNAcentral's name for it is "partial 16S ribosomal RNA". It matches the Rfam family "Bacterial small subunit ribosomal RNA", at positions 524 to 776 of the family's 1533-position model. The record is from RNAcentral.